GAUGAACGCUGGCGGCGUGCUUAACACAUGCAAGUCGAACGGAAAGGCCUUGUGCUUGCACGAGGUACUCGAGUGGCGAACGGGUGAGUAACGCGUAGGUAACCUGCCUACUAGCGGGGGAUAACUAUUGGAAACGAUAGCUAAUACCGCAUAACAGCAUUUAACCCAUGUUAGAUGCUUGAAAGGAGCAAUUGCUUCACUAGUAGAUGGACCUGCGUUGUAUUAGCUAGUUGGUGAGGUAACGGCUCACCAAGGCGACGAUACAUAGCCGACCUGAGAGGGUGAUCGGCCACACUGGGACUGAGACACGGCCCAG
Molecule: ribosomal RNA, 316 nt
Filed under: uncultured bacterium
Lineage: Bacteria
Description: bacterial SSU rRNA
Rfam family: Bacterial small subunit ribosomal RNA
Source: RNAcentral